Molecule: ribosomal RNA, 411 nt
Filed under: Candidatus Zixiibacteriota bacterium
Lineage: Bacteria; Pseudomonadati; Candidatus Zixiibacteriota
Description: bacterial SSU rRNA
Rfam family: Bacterial small subunit ribosomal RNA
Source: RNAcentral
ACGGAGAGUUUGAUCCUGGCUCAGAACGAACGCUGGCGGCGUGCUUAAUACAUGCAAGUCGUGCGAGAAAUCCCGAGCUUGCUCGGGAGAGUAAAGCGGCGAACGGGUGCGUAACACGUGGGCAACCUGCCCCCGGGUUGGGGAUAAGCCUUCGAAAGGAGGUCUAAUACCGAAUAACAUCACACCAGGGCAUCCUGGAGUAAUCAAAGAUGGCUUCGGCUAUCUCCCGAGGAUGGGCCCGCGGUACAUUAGCUUGUUGGUAGGGUAACGGCCUACCAAGGCUGCGAUGUAUAGCCGGCCUGAGAGGGUGACCGGCCACACUGGGACUGAGAUACGGCCCAGACUCCUACGGGAGGCAGCAGUAGGGAAUAUUGCGCAAUGCCCGAAAGGGUGACGCAGCAACGCCGCGUG